GGUGAUUCGGUGCAGUCUCGGCAGUAGAAUGGUUGCAUGCUGCCGUGUUGUACGCUGACCGAAGUAUGAACAGAAACUUAUACUGUGGUUGCCAUACUCAUUACAGGCUAAUAAAAACUGCAUCAUCC
Pygocentrus nattereri (red-bellied piranha) is the source of this 128-nucleotide long non-coding RNA. RefSeq lists it as uncharacterized. NCBI's taxonomy places the organism in Eukaryota, Metazoa, Chordata, Actinopteri, Characiformes, Serrasalmidae. The transcript has 3 exons. The record is from RefSeq and is a predicted model, not a curated record.